GCGCUGGCUUCGGCAGCACAUGUGCUAUAACCGGAAAGAUACGGAGAAGGUUAGCAUGGCUCCUGCCCAAGGAUGACACGCGAAUUCGUGAAGCCGUCCAUAUUCCU
Molecule: small nuclear RNA, 107 nt
Organism: Psammomys obesus (fat sand rat)
Lineage: Eukaryota; Metazoa; Chordata; Mammalia; Rodentia; Muridae
Source: RefSeq, a predicted model, not a curated record